UACGGAGGAUGCGAGCGUUAUCCGGAUUUAUUGGGUUUAAAGGGUGCGUAGGCGGGAUGCCAAGUCAGCGGUCAAAUACGGGGGCUCAACCUGCGUCCGCCGUUGAAACUGGCGUUCUUGAGUGGGCGAGAAAUACGCGGAAUGCGUGGUGUAGCGGUGAAAUGCAUAGAUAUCACGCAGAACCCCGAUUGCGAAGGCAGCGUACCGGCGCCCGACUGACGCUGAAGCACGAAAGCGUGGGUAUCGAACAGG
RNAcentral lists this ribosomal RNA (252 nucleotides) under uncultured bacterium. RNAcentral describes it as "partial 16S ribosomal RNA". It matches the Rfam family "Bacterial small subunit ribosomal RNA", at positions 524 to 776 of the family's 1533-position model. The record is from RNAcentral.